This 554-nucleotide long non-coding RNA is filed under the name Homo sapiens (human). RNAcentral's name for it is "long intergenic non-protein coding RNA 1677". Lineage: Eukaryota; Metazoa; Chordata; Mammalia; Primates; Hominidae. The record is from RNAcentral.
GGUAUGAAAGAUUGGAACUACGCGGAACUCCAAAUUCAUAGUUGGUUCUCACCAUUAAACAUUUGCUGAUUUCUGGGGACAGAUAGGAAUUCUAAUAGGCAUAGCUGGCAAAGUGAAGGGAAGUCUCCCACAGUCUCAUAUUACUUGAAAAACAAAGUUCCAUUAAAAAGAAGAAGAUGGCUGUCAACAAAUUAGUAAUAGGCAAAUGGUGGAUAGGAAGCAGGACUAAAUUGCAGCUCCCACUCAGACAGAGAGUAGCUUGUGGAGACUCACAUUGUGAACUUUUGCUCCCAGAACUACUGCAGGAACAUAUGAGGAAAGAUGAGAGAAUCCACAGACUCUUUGAAGGAAGCAGAUUGCUCCUGCAGGGCCUGGGAGACAACCAAACACUGGGUCCUUAGGGAGAGGUGCCAGAGGAAUUGGAAAAAGGCCACAGGCAGAAGGAAGGCUCCAGCUAAACUUGAUUGACCCAUCAUUUGGAUGACCCGAAACCACAGAUGCAAUAGAAGAAUGGAACAAAUUUGUACAUUUUGUCAAUAAAAACUUUAUCUUCA